Molecule: ribosomal RNA, 380 nt
Filed under: uncultured eukaryote
Lineage: Eukaryota
Description: SSU rRNA
Rfam family: Eukaryotic small subunit ribosomal RNA
Source: RNAcentral
AGCUCCAAUAGCGUAUAUUAAAGUUGUUGAGGUUAAAAAGCUCGUAGUUGAACCUUGGGCCUAGCCGGCCGGUCCGCCUCACCGCGUGCACUGGCUCGGUUGGGCCUUUCUUUCUGGAGAACCCCAUGUCCUUCACUGGGUGUGGUGGGGAACCAGGACUUUUACCGUGAACAAAUCAGAUCGCUUAAAGAAGGCCUAUGCUCGAAUGUAUUAGCAUGGAAUAAUGGAAUAGGACGUGUGGUUCUAUUUUGUUGGUUUCUAGGACCGCCGUAAUGAUUAAUAGGGACAGUCGGGGGCAUCAGUAUUCAAUUGUCAGAGGUGAAAUUCUUGGAUUUAUUGAAGACUAACUACUGCGAAAGCAUUUGCCAAGGAUGUUUUCA